This is a non-coding RNA of Bos taurus (domestic cattle), 69 nucleotides long. Lineage: Eukaryota; Metazoa; Chordata; Mammalia; Artiodactyla; Bovidae. The record is from Rfam.
CCUGGUGGCUCAGACGGUAAAGCAUCUGCCUGCAAUGCGGGAGACCCGGGUUCGAUUCCUGGGUCAGGA